This is a long non-coding RNA of Vitis vinifera (wine grape), 525 nucleotides long. RefSeq lists it as uncharacterized. The transcript has 3 exons. NCBI's taxonomy places the organism in Eukaryota, Viridiplantae, Streptophyta, Magnoliopsida, Vitales, Vitaceae. The record is from RefSeq and is a predicted model, not a curated record.
AGGUUACAGAUGAAGAAGUGCAAAGGCGGUUUCAUGGACCAUUUAAGGGAGGGUUUUCUGCUGGUUACUAUAAUACUGUGGGCUGUAAGGAGGGGUGGGCUCCACAGUCAUUUACCUCGUCCUGGAAGAACCAGGCUGAAGUUAAAAAGCAGAGUAUGUUUAACUUCUUAGAUGAUGGUGAGAAAGCGGAAAUGGAAGGCUGUUCCCUGGGGACAUCUUUUGCAGUUUGAUACAUUUGGAUUUGCAGCUGCAGAGCUUGCUCCAAAACAAGCUGAGAAGGAACAACAGCAAAGGUACUGUCAGGUGCAUUUCAUGCAUAUUGCUCAAUGGGGUAUCAAUAGGUUUAUAACCUCGUUAAAGUUGGAUCUACUUACCUCAGUUAGCACUUACUAUUUUACUGCUAGUUUAAAAUCUCAGGAGGCAAACCCUCAAAAAGUCCAAACCAUGAUGUGUUCAAAUUCACCACGGUUGAAUUCCCUGUAACUGAGUGUAAAUAAAAAAGUGCUCCUAAUACUUUUGAAGCAA